UCACAUCAGUGUUUGCUUCAGAAGAACUCAUUCCUUGAACUACAACAGUCAAGAUUUUAUUCACGUUAUCUUGAUCUACGGCAUCAGGAGAAACUUCCUCGCACAAAUACCCAAGAGUCUCCAAUGUUGCUUCCUUGACAUGAGCAGGUAGCUGAUGAAUAUUCGACAAAAGGGAUCCAAUCAGUUCAGGCCACUGUUUCUGGGGGAGCUCAAUUCCAGCAACUUUGGCAAUUACUUGAGAUGCAGGUUUGCGAGCAUCAGGUACAAGAGACGAGAGUGUCUUCAACAAGCAUGAUUUUAUCUGAGCCUUCACAGUAGCAUCCAACAUCAACCAUCUUUGAACAAGCUCAAACUUCCUAUGCUGCUCCUUAGCAUCCAGUGCAUUUUUCAACAUCAAACCAGCUAAUCUGCGGCUAUCAGCAGGUUUAUCUUCAUUGGCAAGCUCACCAGAGAGAGAAAACAAGAAAGCAGGGAGAUUCUGCUCUUGGAACUGAUUCAAGCUCUCCUCAGCUUGCUUCUGAACAUUGCGAUCAAUCGAUUGUGCAUUCAGAAGCACCUGCGUCACCUCCAUGGCCAUGAUCUAUCUGUACAAUUGGAACAUGUAAGCGUGGACUGAUAAUGCUACAUAAAAGUUCAGGAGCAGGCAGUACGUAUCGAUAACUAGUAUUAUAUCGUCAAGAGAAACAUAACAAAAGGGUUACAUCCUAUAGCAGCUGACAAGACCCACCUUUCAAUAAGCACACCCACGAUCAGAUAGGUUGGUUCAGAUAAAAAAACGAAUGAAAACGAAUUCAAAACAUAUUUUCAAGUGAAUAUCAGUCUACUGAAAGAGCUCUGCUUAGAGUUGGUUGGAAAAGAUUGCAAUUUUUUCGAGCGGAUAAAUCAUAUCAAAUUACCCAAAUCAAAAUUGACUGAGUCCAACAUCUCGAAGUAAGAUUCCACAAAUAAAAUAGCGAACAAGAAAUUGAAAUCAACAACCAUAUAUCAACAUCGCAACUAACACUGUAAGUUAAGCACAUCCCCAACUAAGAAGGAGUACCCAAUCCGGAUCAUGGCGAAAGAGGAAGAAAAAAACUCGGAGAACCGAAACCCAAUCACUACAAGCUAAUACAUAGUUCGACAAAGAGGCAUUCAGAUUGAGAAGUAUGGUAAGAAGAGCAGACGAGCAGGAUAGUGCGAACCAAACAAAAAAAAGCCGAAUCGGAUAGUAGGAACACUAGAAAAAGAUCAAACUUCCGCCCAAAAACAAAUGAAUAGAGAAUCGAAAAGCGGAAGUAGAAUCAAGGCAAGGAGAGUGCUACUUACGGAAUUUGAAAAGCUGAAAGGGAGGAAAAUUGUCCGGUGGCAGAUCAGAGAUGCGACGGCGAGGCUGAACCCUAGUGGGGAGGCGCGGAGCUACAGCGAGAGAGAGAGAGAGAGAGGAGGCGGACACAAAAGCAAAGUUGAAUUUAUGAGCACAAUCUUUACAGCAAAAUCAAUUUUUCUAAAGGAGUCAGGAAAUGAAUUUUUACUCAAAAAAAACAAACGUCUAAUAACAUUUUAAAUACUUAAAUAUAUAACCAUAAUAACAAGUUAAUUAGUAAUUACAUGAGUAAUUUAACUAUUCGAUUAAUUAUUAAUAAUAUUACUAAUUAGUGUAGCUAAUAUAAGAACAAUAACAACACACAAAUUGGAAAAUUGGAAAGAAAAAACUAAGUUGAGAUAUGUUGGUUAGACUUUGUUCGCUUUAUUACGUCUGGCGAAGACGCUGAUGGCGAGUAAUGGAUGUUUAGCUUGGACAUCUUAUCCUCACCUCCAUCGUUUUCGUCGAACAAUGGACGUUUCACAGUUGCAUUCCAACUUAUUUCUUUUUAUUUGUUAUUGCAAUUUGCAAGGGAUCAUCGAAUGCAGGAGCUGCUUUAGAUGGUGAGAUCUAUGCUUCGGCAAUUCGCGGCAGGUUGGAGCGUGUUGUUUGAGGAGGUGCGGAAGGAGCCACCACAUUGUUGGGGUUGGGAUUAUUGCGGUGUAGUUCGGAGGAGGAUAGUGGUUGCCUGUGGUGGUGCUUGGUGGAGGUGGACAUUGUUAUCGAAGAAGGUUCAAAUCGUCGGAAAAUUGUUGAGAUCAAAUAGGGUAAUUAAGUCAUUUAAUCUCUUUUAAGACGAAAAAAUUUCAAAAUUGUAAGGCAAAGAAUAAUAACACCCAAAUUUUACCAUCACACUACUUUCUUUCAUCAAAUACUCCAUUUUUUCUUUCUGGUUCCAUUAUUUACUUGGAAUUGCAUCUCUCAAGUAUUUACUUGUCAAUUGUAAAUGAUGUAUACUUGUCAAUAGUUUAGUAACAGUAAGGUGACAUUGGUUCUACUGCACAAAUGUUACUCAGACAGAUCUACUUCAUUUCUAUCCAAAAGGAAUCGCUGCUAAUUGCUAGGAUUAGCUACUAUGGAUGGAGAGGAAUCAAUAUUCGACAAUGUGUAUCUAGCCCGAACAAUUUUUAAAUUUGAUGCAGGAUCAUAAGGAUCCGCGAUGUAAUAUCCCCGUUCAUUGUCCAAAACCUUGGUAGAUAGUUCAUUUGGGACAGGGGCACACUCUUUGAACGGGAAUUUUGAAGGUUCGACCUCGAUUGAACCUCUAACCUAUAAACUUCUAGCUCAUUUGGUUCGACGUCCGGUUUGAUUCUAAUAACAACGAACUCAACAACAUCAGUAAGACUAUCAAGGUCUCCGACUCUUAUGUACUCUUAUAAAUAUCUAGGCCAACACAUGAGCAGAUUAUUGAAUACCGUGCAACUAACGCGUUACGCCGAAAUGAACGAUAACCCAUAUGAGUAUUGGCUCAGAGCAGACUACUUAACUUAUGGAUCAUUGUCAAUAACUAAUCAUAAUUUAUAACAAGUUAUAAGAUCCAAUAACCUGUUAUAACACAAGCGAGCCGUGAAAGUGUCUUUUGAUGCUUACCAGAAACUCGCCAAUGACACAGGGAUCACAACCGAAACUCGUCGAACAAUAAGGUAAGUGUCGUUGGAAAAAGUUGCUAGCAUAAAAAGAGAUAUUUCUGUCAGUUAUAAAACAGAGAAUUCAGUAAAUCUUUAAUCUCAGAUUAAUUCUGUCAGUAAAAUCACAUAUAUAUAUACCAUUCAAUCAAAGAAAAGAUAGCACAAACUCAAUAAUUAACAGAUGCUGCAAAGGAAAUUCUGACAAUGAAUGAAUGAAUGCAUGAUGUAUUGAUAUAUAAUCUUUAGACUUGGAGUGCUUUAUAGAGAGAUAACAAAAGUUUCGAAAACAAAAACAAAUGAAUAAUGCAAUGCAAGACUCUUCAAGUAUAUUCCGCACAAAUGAAGGUAGAAUGGUACAACCUGACCAUAUGACAACAGAUACAAACAAUGACAGAUGCAGUAAAACACAGGAACACCCAUCGAGACCUUACGACUUGGAACGACGGACCAACCCUACAUGCAAUCGUGCGACGAUUCCUUGCGCCAGACUCAGCACCUAUCAUCAACAAACUCAAAUGUCCAUGACCGACUUGCACCAACUCCAUGCAAUAUGAAUGAUGACACUUUUUCGACCCUUAUUUCCAACUGGUUGUUGACUUCAAAACGAUGUUUGCAGCCAAUCAAAUGCCUCCGAGCCGAGCCGACCCCUCGAGCGGGUGCUGAUUCAAGAGCUAGUGACAAAACUGGACACCCCGAGUAACUUGUGUUACUAGAAAAAUGCCGAGACAAACCCAGGACCUGACUGACUCAAGAUACCCCAAUGCAUGCAUGCAGGACUCUAAAACGAAAGACCAUGCCGAGCUUGGCAAAUAACCUCUCAAGCAGAUAUGGCACGAGUGAUCGCCAGCUUCGUCCAUUCAGCAGAUUCCUUUAUCGAGCCGUCUUCUGAAGAUAAGCAUUCAUUCAAAAAGUCUCUGCUAGAGAGAGAAUUCUGUAUCAUAGUUCCGGCAUUGCUUCCAAGUGUGUCUGCCAAGUCUCCAAGUACGCCAAUAGCUGUUUUCAUCACCAAAUCAUCCCUGCAUGAAUUCAACCAAGUUAAAAAGGUCAAUUUACAGUCAGUGACAAACACUGAUAUUUUUCAUCGAGUGCAAAAUUGAGAAUCAAGAUAAAGAUAGGCUACUCACAUGUCUUUCUCCAUGUAUAUGCUAUCCAAGAACUGGAGAAUGUGUGGUGCAUAAGGGAUCAACAGCUGGGUUUUAGUUGAGUUCUUAAACCCUUGAAAUAUUCCAGAAUAAGCCUCCAAGAUUCCGUUUCUGAGAGAAUUCGUAUAUUCGACCAUGUCAUCAUCAGCACCUGUAGUAUGAGCAGACAAUUCGGCAGCACUUUGGAGCAUUGGCAUGGCGUACAUCAGAUAUUUUUCAAAGUCUUGGCCUAUUGCCAGUGCAACGUCGCCAAGACAGGAGAAUAUAGGCGGCUUAACGGAUCGAUGCAACUGAUUGCUUGACAAAUCCUUCAGAAGCUGUGUCAUGAUCCCGUCACAAUAAGGUAGAACUUUAUUUUCCAACGCCCUGCAAAUAUCGCCUACCACUCCAACAGUAACAGCACACACCUGGUAUUCUUCAAAAUUUUGAAGGCCGAUCUCCAAGUACUUGUAAAGUUCUGGCAUGUACUUGUCAAAUUUUGGGCCACAUGCAUAGGCAAGGGCUCCAAUAGCAAGCACGGCUUCCUCAUGCACAGUUGCGCUUUUAGAAGCAAACACCCUAAGGAACAGACCCAUUAUCUGGUCUGCAUACUGCAUAAAAAGAUACUUAGUUGGCUCCGACGAGCUUAGCUUCUGAACAAGGACCUGUAAACACCCACAAAGAAGACCUUGUUGUUUCUCCCUCUCAUCAGAUGAAAGGUUCUGACCCUCGAGUGUAUUGUGAAGUUCCAUCAUUAUCACAGGAACAAGUUGCAACACCGUAGGAGUAGUUUCGUCUGUUGAACACCUAACCACUUCAUUAAGUGUUUCAUAGGCAGCNNNNNNNNNNNNNNNNNNNNNNNNNNNNNNNNNNNNNNNNNNNNNNNNNNNNNNNNNNNNNNNNNNNNNNNNNNNNNNNNNNNNNNNNNNNNNNNNNNNNNNNNNNNNNNNNNNNNNNNNNNNNNNNNNNNNNNNNNNNNNNNNNNNNNNNNNNNNNNNNNNNNNNNNNNNNNNNNNNNNNNNNNNNNNNNNNNNNNNNNNNNNNNNNNNNNNNNNNNNNNNNNNNNNNNNNNNNNNNNNNNNNNNNNNNNNNNNNNNNNNNNNNNNNNNNNNNNCCUUUGUCUCCAAUCAGUUUUUGUUAUGUUCUCUUCAAUGAAUGGCAUAACAAGGGGAACAAUAUCAUCUCCCACAGUACGUGCAACAAGUCCAAGACAUGUUCCUCCUGCCAUUGCAAUAUUCCAAGCAGUGUCAUCUUUGUCCUGAUCUUCCUCUUGCUUCAAAAGUGUUUCCAACAAAAUUGGUACAAGAACAGUCAAAGCUUGCUUGACAAAAUAGGAACAUUGAACGGCAUCCGAGUCCGCAGUAAACUCUACCCCAUACUCUUCUAAGAUGUCUAUCUCCUCAUCACAAAUUGAAUUCCAGAAUUCAAUUGCUUGGAGAGCUACAUCUUCUUCAUCUUCCCUCACGGCUUUUGAUGUGAUAUUGAAGAUGUCUUGCAUAUAUGGAGUUAGCUUCUCAUAAUACAUUGAUGCAAUAGAUACCAAACACUCAAAAGCUGCCAGGCGGAUCUUCAAUUCUUUCGACAAAGCAGCCUCACAGACAACUCUCAUGAUAUAAUCACGUUCCAUGUCAUUGCUGAAAUUCGCUUGAGCAAAGCUCAGAGCAUUAUAUAAUGCUUGAAUAGCAGCCAGUCUCACAUCAGUGUUUACUUCAGAAGAACUCAUUCCUUGAACUACCACAGUCAAGAUUUUAUUCACGUUAUCCUGAUCAACAGCAUCCGGAGAAACUUCCUCGCACAAAUACCCAAGAGUCUCCAACGUUGCUUCUUUGACAUGAGCAGGUAGCUGAUGAACAUUCGACAAAAGGGAUCCAAUCAAUUCAGGCCACUGUUUCUGCGGGAGCUCAAUUCCAGCAACUUUAGCGAUUACUUGAGCUGCAGGUUUACGAGCAUCAGGUACAAGAGACGAGAGUGUCUUCAACAAGCAUGAUUUUAUCUGAGCCUUCACAGUAGCAUCCAACAUCAACCAUCUCUGAACAAGCUCAAACUUCCUGUGCUGCUCUUUAGCAUCCAGCGCAUUUUUCAACAUCAAACCAGCUAAUCUGCGGCUAUCAGCAG
Molecule: long non-coding RNA, 6206 nt
Filed under: Linum usitatissimum (flax)
Lineage: Eukaryota; Viridiplantae; Streptophyta; Magnoliopsida; Malpighiales; Linaceae
Description: long non-coding RNA (LUSI_LNC008294)
Source: RNAcentral